Molecule: ribosomal RNA, 254 nt
Filed under: uncultured bacterium
Lineage: Bacteria
Description: partial 16S ribosomal RNA
Rfam family: Bacterial small subunit ribosomal RNA
Source: RNAcentral
CACGUAGGGUGCGAGCGUUGUCCGGAAUUAUUGGGCGUAAAGAGCUCGUAGGCGGUGUGUCGCGUCGGCCGUGAAAACCUGCAGCUUAACUGCGGGCUUGCGGUCGAUACGGGCAUCACUGGAGUUCGGCAGGGGAGACUGGAAUUCCUGGUGUAGCGGUGAAAUGCGCAGAUAUCAGGAGGAACACCGGUGGCGAAGGCGGGUCUCUGGGCCGAUACUGACGCUGAGGAGCGAAAGCGUGGGGAGCGAACAGG